Long non-coding RNA from Octopus sinensis (East Asian common octopus), 121 nucleotides. RefSeq lists it as uncharacterized. The transcript is spliced from 3 exons. The record is from RefSeq and is a predicted model, not a curated record. NCBI's taxonomy places the organism in Eukaryota, Metazoa, Mollusca, Cephalopoda, Octopoda, Octopodidae.
UCCAAGCCAGCAUGGGUUGGAUGGUUUAACAGGAACUGGCAAGUCAGAAGACCGCACCAAGCUCUGCUGACUGUUUUGAUAUGGUUUCUAUGACCAGAUGCACUUCCUAAUGCCAACCACU